ACUCACCCCGAAGCAAUUUCAUCGGAGAUGGAUAUCAUUUAUUUAAAACAAAAGGUUGAGUGUGGUGCAGAUUUUAUACUUACUCAAGUUGUGUUUACAAGUGAGCGGUUCAAUGAUUUCGUUCGCAGGUGUAGAGAGGUUGGAAUCACUGUUCCAAUUGUUCCAGGUAUCCUCCUUAUAGAGAAUUCUCAGUCAUUGCGGAAGUUUGCGAACAUAUGUCAGGUCGAAGUUCCCGAGUUGCUACUGAAAGAACUAGAGGAUGUAGAGAAUAGUUCCAGGGACUUCAACAAUGGACGCACAAUGUUGCAGCUCAGAUUGCUCGUGAUAUACUUGAAGCUGGAACAUCUGAUAAGGCUCAUUUCUUCACGAUGAACAGGUGAGUGUAUAAUUGAGUUCAUCAGAGAGAAACCAACCCACAUUAAGUUGAAACUGAGAAAAGAGCGUUUGAAGUUUUAUUCCUGCAUAAGGCCCAAUGUAAAAAAUAAACACUAACCCCUCUUUUCACAAUUUUUUGUUGUUUUUAGACUUUUAGUUUUUGGCAGGGGAAAAUAUACGGUUAGUGAAACUCUAAAGCAUUCUUAUCUCAAUUUUUUCGAAGAUGUAGGUUCCUUUCUGAUAGCCACGGUCUAAUUCUAGUCACUAAUGCCGCACCCCCCUCCCCCUUCCUUCCAAAAAAGGAGGAAUUGGACCCUCUACGAACUUCCUUAGUUGAAGCAACUUCCUCUAAAAUCAAGUUUUUAUCAGGGGAAAUUUCGCAAAAUUCCAAUUUUCACUCGACAUUUUGUCAUACUACGGCAUUACAGAGGAAGAGCCUCAAGUAAUUCCUCCAAGAAUAAAAUUGCGAAUAUUGUGUGGCAUACCUGUAGACUAUUUACAUCUUUCAGUUUGACACUCAUUCAGUGGAUAAACAAAAGAUGAUGCAGAUAAUGCUGCUUGCCAAAAGGAAACGCCUCAGGAAAAAGCGAACUUCGCCAAAUUUCUCCCGAUAAAAAUGCAUUUUUGAAGCGAGUUAUGAAUAUUUUUCCUUGCCAUUUUUAAAUACGUUUGAUUGAAUUGCGAGUAAAAUUCUCUGAAAAUUUCUAAGGAAAACACUCAUUGGUCUUUCAUAAAAUCCAUUCUUCAUAAAAUGACAUUUGACAACGUCCAAGGGCUCAUACGGCGUUCUCUCCCAGACAGUGGCGUGGCGUGAAUGAUCGAUUAUCGAUACCUCGCCAUUUGAAGCUAUGGUAAAGAAUCGAUUACUAAGGUGUUCACUGCGAACACCCUAAUAAUCGAUCUUUUUUCAUAGGUUUGAAUGGCGUAUCGAUCGAUAUAUCGCAAAGCACGCCACGCCACUGCUCCCAGAACGGCAGAGUGAAAGCUAACACUGAAAAGUGAGGAGCGCCAAGAGUUGCUCAUCAAAGCUACCCUCCUGCUUCAUGUUUACUUAAGACGCAUUUGAAUAAAACAACCGAAGGAAAAGAAAGAAAGAGCAAACGGAGUAUGCACUAGAGAGAGAGUUUCUUCUCCUCGCUGUAUUUGUCUUCACUUUAUUUGAGCCCUGAAAUGAGUUUUCAGGUCAACGCAAAGUUAGAAAGAAGUUGUUACAAUCGUACGUUAUGCUCUUUGAGAUUUCUUGCAAUUCUUUCCUUGACAUUGAAGAAUAACUGUUGAGUUAAAAUGUCAACGAUCUCAACUACUGCAUUCGCUUCGAGCGUGAGCCAAUUUUCUUACAUUUUAAUUGAUCGCUUUAAAUUUCUAGGGUUCAAGAAGUUCAAGAAAUGCACUCCAGACUGACUAGUUUAUCGCAAUGUACCUGAGAGGAGGAGGAAAAACUGAUUAGAGGGGCUUCAAGACAGAAUAAUUAAGUGUUCGAGGCACAAUAAAUCAAUCUCUGAAAAAACCAUCACCUAACUAAUGAGAGAUAAACUUCACAAUUGCAAUAUUCUUAAGACCUUGUAUUACACAGAUCUGGUUCUUCUCAAAAGAUGAAUAAACAAUAGGUCUUCAAAACUGAUAUUUUUUGUUCUUUUCAUUGAAUCAUGCAUGGGACCCGCAAAAAACUUCUGGCUUGGUUGGAUACCGAUAGAUAGUCAGGCCAAAAAACCUCAGUAAAUUUCUCUUGAUUUUUGAUAACAGACUAAACCGAAGCCAAGAAAUGGGUGUUUUUGACUUUUUUUGUAAAUCCUGCCGCGUGACUUUUUAGCCGACCGCGCGAACUAGCGAACACGGGAAGCUCUUCAAACAGAAAAUUUGAUUCAACGAUCGGCAGAGGCGGAUUCCCUUCAUUUAAACCUAUGCUAAAUAAUCGAUUCUUGUCGGAGCACCUGGCCCCUCCAAAAAUCGAUACAUUUUCAUGAGUUUAAAUAGAUAUAAAAAACGAUUUUG
This 2367-nucleotide long non-coding RNA is filed under the name Bemisia tabaci. Its description in RNAcentral is "lncRNA ENSSSA1NGG014916". The record is from RNAcentral. Lineage: Eukaryota; Metazoa; Arthropoda; Insecta; Hemiptera; Aleyrodidae.